AAGCGAAAGUUCGACUUGAGUUGAUAUUGCUGGCAGGUAUUGGAUUAAUAAAAUUGUAUAGGGGUGCAUGAGUAGCUCCAAAUUGUCUUCUCGUGUGAAUAUCGAAUGAAUUAUUAUUAUAUAUGAUAGAUGUGCAUUUCAUGGUAGGAUUGUAGUAGUUUUAGAUAGCUAUAGAUAUUGAAUCUAUAACCAAUAUCUAGACUUUCUGAGUCGAAUACUCAUUUUUGUUCAAAUAUUUUUUCCCAGAUUGUAGGAU
This 256-nucleotide unclassified non-coding RNA is filed under the name Hevea brasiliensis (rubber tree). Lineage: Eukaryota; Viridiplantae; Streptophyta; Magnoliopsida; Malpighiales; Euphorbiaceae. The record is from RNAcentral.